RNAcentral lists this long non-coding RNA (1005 nucleotides) under Homo sapiens (human). RNAcentral's name for it is "HSALNT0374465". The record is from RNAcentral. Lineage: Eukaryota; Metazoa; Chordata; Mammalia; Primates; Hominidae.
GUGAUUCAUUAGUAAUUUUAAAUACACAACAUCUAAAACAUAAAGGUGGCAAUUUCUUUUUUAGUAUAUUUUAAAUUACACACUUUUGUUGACAGGGUAGGUAAUAUAGUUUACAAAAUGCCACUAUUGCCUGCUUACAAACAUUAAGAAACUUGGUUGCCGACUGAUGACUCAUGUGGUAACUCCUGAACAAUCUGUUUUAUUUGAUCAGAUCAGCUUUAUUUCCUUUAAAAAAAAUUUUGAAUUCAAAUGAUUUUAGGCUAGAUGAAUAGCUUCCAUAUUUCCAUAUUGUCUUAACCUAGAAACUUCAAAUAAUUUUACAUUACCAGCUAGACCAUAAGUGUAUUUUAACUUUCAAUCAUGAUUAAAUAAAAUUUGUUCCUCUAAUAUUAAAAUGUAUCUAUCAUAAUCAUGGAUUUUUAGAUAUUGUUCUUGGGGAGCUCAGAGUUUAUCAAAGCUUUAUAUGUGAUAUACGAGGUAGUAAAUACUAUGUAGGUUUAUAUUAAGGAAAUAAAACAAAUAUAAUAAACACGAGAAUGAAUAAUUUUACAUGAAAAGGGGGAGCUGGUAUGCUGUAUAUUAAUAUUGUAUUUGAAAUAUAAAUAUAUGUGUUAAAGUUAACCAUUUACAGUGACUUGGAGUCUCCCAGAGAUGAAAUUACUCCUGUUUAGGUGAUUUUGUAAAAUGCACUAUCUCUCACAGCCCCUGGACAUCAUAAGGGAAGUGGCAGCAGUAAUUUAAGAGAUGUCUGCAGACCAAGGUGAAUUUAGUGAAUAUCAAAAACUUCUUGAGUGCUCCAUCGUAACGCCAUUUAUCUUGACAUAAACUGCAAAGAUGGCUCAAAUGUCGAUAAGGAUAUCAGUUCAGGGUCUCCAGUGGCUGCAGCCUAUCCCAGAAGCUCAGGGUGCAAGGCAAGAAGUAAUCGUGGGACCAGGCGCCGUGGCUCUCGCCUGUAAUCCCAGCACUUUGGGAGGCAGAGGCUGGUGAAUCACUUGAGGUCAGGGG